UGUGUGUGUCUGAGGAAGAUUGUUGCUGAGCCAACAUCUGUGCCAAUCUUCCUCUAUUUUUCAUGUGGCAUGCCGCCUCAGCAUGGCUUGAUGAGCCAUGCUAGGGCCACACCUGGGAUCCGAAACUGCAAACUCCAGGCCACAGCAGUGGAGCACGUGAACUUAACCACUAGGCCACCGGGCCGGUCCCCGUUCAAUCUUUUUAGACCAAUCCAUUUUGAUUUUCUUAUUCACUAAGUCCAAGAUAAGGAGAACCUCUGAUUUUCCUAGCUCCCCGUUGGCUAUUAGGGGUGAGACUCUGGUGUCUCCAGGGUGGGCAGAGACAGUUAGCAGAAGCUCUCAUGUGAUGCUGUCUUAGCCAGCUCACUUUCCUCCCGGAUACGUUACAAAUUUCAACCAGCACCUUAAAACGUGAACACGGAUGUGCUGGCUGUAUUUCCUGUCUGGAAGCCAGCAGAGAAGAGUUCUAAGCAAGUGGGACCCAGCCUGGGUAGAUUUUGCACUGGGAAGAGGAGACAUGCGAAUAUAUGGAGCAAUCAGCACCUCUAAAGAAAAGCGAGCCCAGGUGGGCUGUCUUAGCUGCUGGGAGAGGAGAUGCACCUCUACCACUCAGUCAAUCCAGCCUCAGUUUGAUAUUCUGAGAACCCGACUGCUCCCCCUUUAGAGCUUGGCCAAGUCCCUAAAUGCUCAGAGUCAAGGAGAACAAUUCAUGCUUGUCAGAUAAUGUUUACGGCUCAUUCCUUGUACGCUGGCUAUUUCACUGACUAGGUGACUUGCUUGAACCCUGCCCCUUGAGAUGCUGAGGAUCAAUGGGCCAAGACAGAGGAUUUGGCAAAGUUGGCAUCCAGUGGCCUGGAUAUUUUUUUUACAUUUUCCAGGAUAUUAAGAACUGCUGGGACAAUGACUAAGCCAGAAACUCAUCUUCCAUACAGUUCUACUUGGUUUUUGUUAUUUUAUGCCACUAAUUGUGCUUUGCCUUUAUAGAGUGUUUACUUGCCUGCCUAUAUGCUCCUGAACAAACAUGAGAAAAUGUAUCAUAAAAUCUGUUCGACAAAGAAACAGAGCUUUUUCAGAACCCAUGUCAGGCCUUAUCAAACAUAUUCAUGAAAGCCUGUGGACAUCCAUAUGGGGCACGCUUGGAUAUCUACGAGACACACACCCUUAAAUUAUACAGACAAAGGGAUGCCAAGAGUUGACAGCAUGCAAAAGCCGAAGAACCUCAGAGGUGGAGUGGUCAGAGGAUUCUCAAGUGGUUUUUAAACCACAGAACAUUUUCUUCAGGCGAAAGUUGCUGCAGAAGCUCAAUCUACAGACUGUGAACGGCUAAGAGAGCAGGAAACAUGUCCUAUUCACAUCAUCAGGCAAAAUGCCUGCCCCUACCCGAGGCCUCAAAAUUCAUGAAGAAGAUGACCUGGACCCCAAAAAUUGCUCUUCCAUUUACCUUCAGUUUCCAACUCUGUUACCACUCAGUGGAUGAUGGUGGGAGAUCUAUGAUGGUUUUCCCAUUUGCCUGGUGAGGAUUCGUCUCAAUCAACUUUGUCAAAGACAAAUUCAUUUCACUUCUUACUGAUAAGAGAUAUCAUCUUACUGACAGAAUAUAUCACACUCAUGCAAGAAUAUUUUUAAGUUGUAUGAGCUAAGGAAAUAAAAAUAUAUUGAAAUAAUGAAUUAAUUGAAAUUAUUUCUUCAGUAUCUUGUCUGUGUGUGUCUCUGUGUGUG
RNAcentral lists this long non-coding RNA (1719 nucleotides) under Equus caballus (horse). RNAcentral's name for it is "lncRNA (ENSECAG00000046998.1)". Lineage: Eukaryota; Metazoa; Chordata; Mammalia; Perissodactyla; Equidae. The record is from RNAcentral.